RNAcentral lists this long non-coding RNA (2550 nucleotides) under Bemisia tabaci. RNAcentral describes it as "lncRNA ENSSSA1UGG005041". Lineage: Eukaryota; Metazoa; Arthropoda; Insecta; Hemiptera; Aleyrodidae. The record is from RNAcentral.
GCUCGACAGAGGGCAGUGCAGGUUUUGUGUUGUAGAGCGGGAGGGAGUGCUAUAAAGCCAACGUAUAUGUAUGUGUCUAUAUAAAAUUCAGCUCCAUAUCGAGUUAUUAUGACGUUACAUAUUCCAUCAUACAUUGUGACCUAAAAUGUUGACAUUGGUUGAGAAGAAAAUGUGACGUCAUGUUAAAUAUGGCGACUAAGCAUUAGUUCUUAAAAGGAAUAUCAACGACUCAUCACUUUAGUGUGAUAAUACCAUUCAACAACUGACAAACGUCCAGACAGGAACUGAGAAUACAAUUUCGUCGGACUGCACUGUACAAAACGGAGAAAAAGGAAAAUGAAGGAAACAAGUAGAGAAGCAUAUCGUGCUCUUCAGUAAAAAUUGGAAUAUUUAAUUUUCAAAAGGCUCCAAACGCAAAAAUUCGUGAUCCUUAGUAUCCCAUAUUUGUCACGAUUUUUGCAGCUCACAAAGUUUAAGGACCUUCCAUAAAUAAAAAUUAUAGUUGACCUCCUCGUGCUCUUUAUUCUAUCACGUGUGAAAAGUGAACAAACAUUUACAAGACGCGGUCGGAGCUUGGCAUUUUUAGACAUCGAGUAUUAAUUUCAAUUCAUUCAUUGAACUGAAGAGACAAAAUGUAGUGUUAAGAUGUUUUACACGUGAGUGCAACACAAUAUAGAAUGUACUACAAAAGUGAAAGUACAAGUAUAGUACUACAAAAUUCAAAGACACGCAAACAGUCCCGAGUCUUUUAAAGUGUGGAGAUAUCAUGGUUUCACUAUGGGAACUCUCAUCGUCACUUCUUACAGUCAGAUUUGUGUUUAUUUACAUGCCAGGUGAAGCAUUUUCCGUCAAAAUGAAGGCCCCAAAUGAAGCUCUGGAAUUUUUAAGAAUGACAUAGAUGAAAUGAAGAAAGCUGAGACUGAGCGGCUCGAGGCAGUACAAACUGUCCUCUCAAAGUCAAGACUGGUGGCGGAUUUGAAUGUAAAAGAACUGUUGAAUCUAAUGGCGUCCCAAGAUGAAAUUCUCAUCGAAAUUCGCAAAACGCUGGAGGGUAUGCUUUGGACCUUGGGAGUUGCCAAUCAGGUUGAAUUUACGAGACUCGUUGAGAAACUCAGAGGCCAAAUACGACAAAUGGAUUCGAAUGAACUCGAAAUCAAGAAAAAAGGAAAAUCACUUCCACCAGAUCUCUUACAGGAUGAUGAGAUGAAAAAAUUGAUGGAUACACUUGAAACGGAUUAUGUUUGCAUAACGGCAACUAUAGGCGCAGUUAAGGCAAUGAGUCCGGUUGAAAUAUGAGAUAGAAACCUUUUCAUACCAAAAAGAUCUCUUGUGGACAAAAUGAAUAUAUUUGGAGGAAAAGAAUCCUGGAAAUUUGCGGGGUCUUCAUGGUCGAUCCUUAAACGGCUCAUUUUCUUCAGGAAGGUCCAAUACAGUUUACAUUGUAAUUAAGGGAGUUCUAGGGACUCAUUAAUCUUAGCCUUAUGAAAAGCAUAAUUUUUACGACGGAUGUCUUAAUUUUAACAAUUUAACUUUAGAAAUGCAUCCUGAAGAGGAUUCGCAAUGAUUUAUCAUUGAGAAACUACAUAAUACAAAAGAACAUGUAAUGUAAGUUUUGUAAAUUUGAAAGUUAGUCGUUAAUUACCUAUAUAUGGUUAAACCAACCAACCUACUAUCCUCAAAGUUUGACAUCAUGACAAAAAAAUUUCUUUUGUGCUUUGUAUUGUUUGCAGUAACGGAGCAUUGUAAUCCUUUGUGAGGAUCUAUUACCAAACUUAAAUUGUUGAAUUUCACUAAAGAUUCAAUCGUCUCUUAGUGCAUCGUCCACAAAAGUAGUACAAAAUCAGACAAAAGAGUUUGAAAGCAGUUCACUUAUUUUUAUUUUUUACACCGGGUGUAAUUUUCAAUGAGCCGCAAGACGGAAUUUCGGGAAAUAACCCUUUCGUGAAAACCUAUUGUUACCAUUCGCGGAGUUCUGGUUCAAUGAACGGAAACGCCCAACGUUCUUUUCCAGGCAACGAUGACAGAGUAAGACAACUCAGAUUUCAUGUAAAGAAAGUUGUUAUUCGGCCUUUUCAAGCCAAGGCUCGAGGAAAUUCCUAGAAACGCGUCAAAGCUUCUCGACUUUUUUCUCCUGAAUCCAACUCACUUAUAGUUUCAGGAAUAAGCCGUAAUCAAAAGGAUAUCAAUAAAAAGGCGAAUCGAUUCUUGGAAACGGAUAAAAGGGAUAAGUUGAUUUCCACGACUGAAUUCGACCCCUUUACAGGGUGUCCUAACAGUGUUCAUUAAUGAUUAAAGAUAGGUAAUUGUUUCCAGUCUCGUUUUGCGGAGCGUAUUUGCCUGCUUGUGCGUACAAUUUUCUACAGUUUAAAAACUCUAGUUUAAAAGUCUACCGGAUCAGUAACUAUAUUUCCUCGUGAGGUUAAUCCGUUUGGUCCUUUGAAUGUUUGACCUCAUUUUACAAGGGGAUAAGGUUUGCGUAUCUCUCUUUGUACCAAUCUUACAAUUACUGCCACUUCGUGUCAUUCUGUAUUCGCUCUGCCCUGUAUAAUU